UGGCAAACUUAUAGAAAUAUAAGGACGCAAAGUUAGAAGUCUAAGACAAUAAUUGUUAUGAUAGUUCGGCUGCA
This 74-nucleotide non-coding RNA is filed under the name human gut metagenome. RNAcentral's name for it is "Cyclic di-GMP-I riboswitch". It matches the Rfam family "c-di-GMP-I riboswitch aptamer", at positions 12 to 83 of the family's 87-position model. Rfam says of the family: GEMM was predicted in a large-scale screen for bacterial structured RNA regulatory elements. The record is from RNAcentral.